RNAcentral lists this ribosomal RNA (427 nucleotides) under uncultured bacterium. RNAcentral describes it as "bacterial SSU rRNA". It matches the Rfam family "Bacterial small subunit ribosomal RNA", at positions 355 to 799 of the family's 1533-position model. The record is from RNAcentral.
UGGGGAAUAUUGGACAAUGGGCGAAAGCCUGAUCCAGCCAUGCCGCGUGAGUGAUGAAGGCCUUAGGGUUGUAAAACUCUUUCGCCGGGGAAGAUAAUGACGGUACCCGGAGAAGAAGCUCCGGCUAACUUCGUGCCAGCAGCCGCGGUAAUACGAAGGGAGCUAGCGUUGUUCGGAAUUACUGGGCGUAAAGCGCACGUAGGCGGGCUAUUAAGUCAGGGGUGAAAUCCCGAGGCUCAACCUCGGAACUGCCUUUGAUACUGAUAGUCUUGAGAUCGGGAGAGGUGAGUGGAAUUCCUAGUGUAGAGGUGAAAUUCGUAGAUAUUAGGAAGAACACCAGUGGCGAAGGCGGCCAACUGGCUCGAUACUGACGCUGAGGUGCGAAAGCGUGGGGAGCAAACAGGAUUAGAUACCCGGGUAGUCCCUG